CCGUUGACUUGGUGUUGUCAGCACCACACUCUCCCAAGUGAGCCACAGGCCGGCCCUUUUAACAAUUCUUAACACUGUCUUAAGAGUCCUUUGAAUGUCUGCAAUGGUAUAAAACAAUGACAACCAUAACUUUGUUCUUUCAAGAAAGAAAAGCUUUGGGGGAAUAGCUGUGUUAUUCAGAGCCAAAUCUGCUGAUUUGGGUAGCUGAUGAGUCAAGAUAAUUACCUUUGGGGUCAAGAACAGUGCGCCAUGAAGAUGCACCCAGGAGAGGCCUUCCAGCAGAGUGUGGGCAGCAGCCAUGCCCCGGGAACGAGCACUCACCCCAGUGGGCUUUUUACGUUCUUAUGACUUUUUAGUGGGAAAGUGAAACCUGCCUGUGGUUAACAAAGAAAUAGUUCAAAAGAAUCUUCAGUACAAUGAUGAAUAGAAGUGACAAGAGCAUACGUUGUUGUCCUGUUCCUGAACUUAAGGGGAAAGACUUCAUUCAGUAUUUCACUGGUAAGUAUGAUGUUAGUUGUGAGUUUUUCAUAGAUACCCUUUAUGAGGUUGAAGAAGCUCCUUUUUAUUCCUAGUUUGAGUGGUUUUUUUUGUUUGUUUGUUUGUUUUAAUCAUGAAGAGCUGUUGAAUUUCAUCUAAUAAAUUUUCUGCAUCUAUUGAGAUGAUCAUGUGAUUUUUGUUCUAUUAUAUUGAAAUUAUAUAUUAUAUUAAUUGAUUUUUAUAUGUUAAACCAACCUUGAAUUCAUGUGAUAAAUUUCACUUGGUCAUGGAGUAUAAUCAUCUCUCAAUAAAUUGUGGAAAUUGGAUUGCUAGUA
Molecule: long non-coding RNA, 812 nt
Organism: Galeopterus variegatus (Sunda flying lemur)
Lineage: Eukaryota; Metazoa; Chordata; Mammalia; Dermoptera; Cynocephalidae
Exons: 2
Source: RefSeq, a predicted model, not a curated record